This 253-nucleotide ribosomal RNA is filed under the name uncultured bacterium. Its description in RNAcentral is "partial 16S ribosomal RNA". It matches the Rfam family "Bacterial small subunit ribosomal RNA", at positions 524 to 776 of the family's 1533-position model. The record is from RNAcentral.
UACAGGGGGUGCAAACGUUGCUCGGAAUUAUUGGGCGUAAAGCGCACGUAGGCGGUUUGUUAUGUCGGAUGUGAAAGCCCUUGGCUCAACUGAGGAAGUGCAUCCGAAACUGGCAAGCUAGAGUAUGUAAGAGGGUCGCGGAAUUCCCGGUGUAGAGGUGAAAUUCGUAGAUAUCGGGAGGAACACCGGUGGCGAAGGCGGCGACCUGGGACAAUACUGAUGCUGAGGUGCGAAAGCGUGGGGAGCAAACAGG